CUUGCACACUGUUAAAGCUUGAUGCUGAGGUCAGUUUCUGGCCGGUGAGCUCUCAAGUGUCGGAGGUGUGCGACAGCAAUGGAUGGCAGGGUUUUUGCUAAUGCCAGGAGAGGGCUCCCUCUAGGGUUGGAGUUCGAUGGUAGGGCCCUGCCACAUGC
Pseudopipra pipra is the source of this 158-nucleotide small nucleolar RNA. The record is from RefSeq and is a predicted model, not a curated record. Lineage: Eukaryota; Metazoa; Chordata; Aves; Passeriformes; Pipridae.